RNAcentral lists this transfer RNA (85 nucleotides) under Leptothoe spongobia TAU-MAC 1115. It matches the Rfam family "tRNA". From Rfam's summary of the family: Transfer RNA (tRNA) molecules are approximately 80 nucleotides in length. The record is from Rfam by way of RNAcentral. Lineage: Bacteria; Bacillati; Cyanobacteriota; Cyanophyceae; Nodosilineales; Cymatolegaceae. RNAcentral also lists the same sequence under 2 other names.
GGAGAGGUGGCAGAGUGGUCGAAUGCGCUCGACUUGAAAUCGAGUGAGCCGCAAGGUUCCGAGGGUUCGAAUCCCUCCCUCUCCG